This 72-nucleotide transfer RNA is filed under the name Gillichthys seta (shortjaw mudsucker). RNAcentral's name for it is "tRNA-Asp". It matches the Rfam family "tRNA". Rfam says of the family: Transfer RNA (tRNA) molecules are approximately 80 nucleotides in length. Their secondary structure includes four short double-helical elements and three loops (D, anti-codon, and T loops). Further hydrogen bonds mediate the characteristic L-shaped molecular structure. tRNAs have two regions of fundamental functional importance: the anti-codon, which is responsible for specific mRNA codon recognition, and the 3' end, to which the tRNAs corresponding amino acid is attached (by aminoacyl-tRNA synthetases). tRNAs cope with the degeneracy of the genetic code in two manners: having more than one tRNA (with a specific anti-codon) for a particular amino acid; and 'wobble' base-pairing, i.e. permitting non-standard base-pairing at the 3rd anti-codon position. Lineage: Eukaryota; Metazoa; Chordata; Actinopteri; Gobiiformes; Gobiidae. The record is from RNAcentral.
AAGAUACUAGUAAAAUAAUUAAUACACUGCUUUGUCAAGGCAGAGGCGUGGGUUAAAACCCCACGUAUCUUA